Molecule: ribosomal RNA, 564 nt
Filed under: uncultured bacterium
Lineage: Bacteria
Description: partial 16S ribosomal RNA
Rfam family: Bacterial small subunit ribosomal RNA
Source: RNAcentral
UGGGGAAUUUUGGACAAUGGGCGCAAGCCUGAUCCAGCCAUGCCGCGUGCGGGAAGAAGGCCUUCGGGUUGUAAACCGCUUUUGUCAGGGAAGAAAUCUUCUGAGUUAAUACCUCGGGAGGAUGACGGUACCUGAAGAAUAAGCACCGGCUAACUACGUGCCAGCAGCCGCGGUAAUACGUAGGGUGCAAGCGUUAAUCGGAAUUACUGGGCGUAAAGCGUGCGCAGGCGGUUUUGUAAGACAGAGGUGAAAUCCCCGGGCUCAACCUGGGAACUGCCUUUGUGACUGCAAGGCUUGAGUGCGGCAGAGGGGGAUGGAAUUCCGCGUGUAGCAGUGAAAUGCGUAGAUAUGCGGAGGAACACCGAUGGCGAAGGCAAUCCCCUGGGCCUGCACUGACGCUCAUGCACGAAAGCGUGGGGAGCAAACAGGAUUAGAUACCCUGGUAGUCCACGCCCUAAAACGAUGUCAACUGGUUGUUGGGAAGGUUCCUUCUCAGUAACGUAGCUAACGCGUGAAGUUGACCGCCUGGGGAGUACGGCCGCAAGGUUGAAACUUAAAUGAAUU